GCCCCGCCCACCGCUGAUCCCCAGUGGCCCGAGGGCGCGGCCGCACCCUCUCUCCCGGCUCGCGGGCCCUUUCCCACCACAGACCCCGCCCCGCGCCCUACCCGUCACGCGUCCAAGGUCCAGCCCCGGGUCCCGGGGCUCCGGUGCCCACCAGUCCCCAGCAGGCCCCGCCCCCGUGCGGUCCCUCCCGGAAGCGCCGGCGGAGCGUCCUCACAUGGAGCGCGAGCCCAGCGCUUCGGAGGCCGCCCCCGCGGCGGCCGCGCUCUUCGCCUGGGGUGCAAAUAGCUAUGGGCAACUUGGCCUCGGCCAUAAGGAAGAUGUGCUGUUGCCCCAGCAACUGAAUGACUUCUGUAAACCCAGGAGUGUCAGGAGGAUCACAGGAGGAGGGGGCCACUCUGCAGUUGUCACAGAUGGAGGAGACCUCUUUGUUUGUGGCCUGAACAAAGAUGGGCAACUGGGGCUUGGUCACACAGAGGAUAUCCCAUAUUUUACCCCCUGCAAAUCCCUCUUUGGCUGUCCCAUCCAACAGGUGGCCUGUGGCUGGGAUUUUACCAUUAUACUCACAAAAAAUGGUCAAGUUCUAUCAUGUGGAUCCAACUACUUUGGCCAGUUAGGAGUUCCUCAUGGACCUCAAAGAUGUGUGGUUCCCCAGGCCAUUGAGCUCCAUAAAGAGAAGGUUGUUUGUAUUGCUGCUGGACUGAGACAUGCAUUAGCUGCUACAGCGAGUGGCAUCGUGUUCCAGUGGGGGACUGGUUUGGCAUCAUGUGGACGACGGUUGUGCCGUGGGCAGUCUCUUCCGUUGUUUUUCACAGCAAAGGAACCAAGCAGAGUGACAGGUCUAGAGAAUUCUAAAGCAAUGUGUGUUCUUGCUGGCUCAGACCACUCAGCUUCAUUAACAGAUGCAGGAGAGGUGUAUGUUUGGGGAAGCAACAAGCAUGGGCAACUGGCUACUGAGGCUGCUUUCCUUCCUGUGCCCCAGAAAAUAGAAGCACAUUGUUUCCAGAAUGAAAAGGUCACUGCCAUCUGGAGUGGGUGGACACACCUGGUUGCUCAGACAGAAACUGGCAAGAUGUUUACCUGGGGCCGAGCAGACUAUGGUCAACUAGGGAGGAAGUUGGAGACGUAUGAAGGCUGGAAACUGGAAAAGCAAGAUUCAUUUCUUCCCUGUUCAAGACCACCGAACAGCACGCCUUCAUCUCUGCAUUGCUUAACUGGAGCAACUGAGGUCUCUUGUGGCUCAGAGCAUAAUUUGGCAGUAAUUGUAUCUCUGCACGGUAAGUAUUAUUAUCCCAGUUUUGCUGAUGUGGAAAUGGAGUUGCAGAGAAAUUAAGAGAUAUACCCAAGAUCACACCGUUCAUGUGUCGUGGAGCCAUAUUUUGAAUCCUGUGAGAGACUUCAGUGCCAAUGAUCAGAUGACCCGACCAUCAAACCAUGCUGGAGCCCCAGGGCCAAUGGCCUGAGAGUAGAAGAAGGAGUAGGUUUUGAUAGCUGAGCCCCCAAAGGUGAAUCAAAUUUAACUUUGUUAUGCUAAGGCUAUAAAAAAAAAAUGAACAUGAAGAAGUUGAAGCAGAGCAUGUAGAGUUUGCUGACAGAGUUCUCGAACAACCAGUUACAGAGGCAAACCACAGUGAAACAACAGAAGAAGGGAACCUGGUGGAGAUGGCUGCUAAGAAGUUGCUCCAUGAACUCAGAGGACCUAUAGAAGGGCCUACCUACACUCAUUGUCUUAGAGCAGCCUUGCUAACCCACGGGCAGUGAGCUACAUGUGGCCCAGGACAGCUUUGAAUGCAGCCCAACACAAAUUUGUAAACUUUCUUAAAACAUGAGGGGUUUUUUGUUUUGUUUUUGUUUUUUUUUUUUUUUAGCUCAUUAGCCGUUGUUAGCGUACUUUUUGUGUGACCCAAUUCUUCUUCCAGUGUGGCCCAGGGACGCCAAAAGAUUGGACACCUCUGGCUUAGAGCCUCUCUAUACCUCUGGCCCAUGUCUGUCUUCUACAUGUAGCCAAUGAAAGAAAUCUAAAGCUGGAAGGGCAGGGGACGUUUCUGAUGCUCUUGUGAGGCAGAGGGAUUGAGAUCACUGCAGAGAAGCUGGCAACAGGAGGCCCAUCAUUUUUUCAGUGGCCAGGACAUCUCCAUUCUGGGUGGAGGAAGACGCAAGGCUUUGGCAAAUAGUAAAAUGCUUGUUUGUCUAUUGCACUUUCUUUAUGUCCAUCACAGUCUGGGAAUCAGUACCUUGAAGCACUAUCCUUGAUUAAUUUAUAAUUUUCUGCCCUAUACUGACUGCCUAGGAAAGAGGUGGUCAGAGGUAUGAGAGGGUGAAAAUACUGUUCUUGAUUAUGAAAACCUAUAUCCAUUCGGUGUAUCCAUGGAUAAUUUUAGUUGUCUAAGUUGAUUUGUUAUUUUCCAUGCUUUAUUUUUAUAAAAAGUCAUUUUUCAGUAGACAUAUAACAUUGUCAAGAACUACCUAAUCCAUGUACAUAAAAUGUCAUGUGAAUGUAUAAAUAUAUAUAAUGUAUAAAAAUAAAAUUAUUCUAAUUUUUAAAAAAUGACUAGAGUUCAUUUGACUGUGAAUUGGAUGCCUGAGUCUGAAGUAUUGAUUCCUGUGUGCCCUUGAGCUAGUCACUUCCCCUUUCUGCCCCUCUGUUCUCAUAACUAUAAAGUGAAAGGUCUAGAUCAGUGGUUUUAGUCACCUGGCCUAUUCUAUCAAAUCACUUGGGAUAAUUGUUAAACGUAUACAUUCCUGGGCCCACUUCCAGAUCAAUAGAUUUGGGAAUUGGGUGCUUAGAAAUUUUUAGUUCUGAUAGUCCUCCAGGUAAUUAAUUCCAGGUGAUGUAGCCAGGUUUUGAGUAGUUGUCUUCCUUGAACCCCUCUGGUUCUAAUGUUUUAGGAUCCUUUGCCUUCUUUCUCUCUUGCUCAGUUUCCCAUUGUUCCCUUUUCCUUUUUUCCCUAGAGCGCUCCUCUCACUAGACUGUGAACCUCUGAGGAGGAGGGGCUAUAUCUUACCCAUCUCUUUAUCUCCGUCCUCCAGCGCAAUGUCUGACACACUGGUAGUGCUCAGUGAGCAGUGGGUGCAAUGAAGGGAAGGAGGGAAUGAAUGGGCUCUCAUGGCUUUAUACCACCUAUACACAUCCAAGUAAUGUCCUUAAUUUUUCCUGCAUCCUCAGUCAUUAUAGAUUUCUUCAGAACGGUAAAUGGAAAGACCACAGACUUUGGAAUCUAAGAAAACUGGAUUUGAAUCUCAACUCUUUCUCUUACUGUGUAGUGGUUUCUCCCAAGUCAUUUAAUCUCUUUAAACUACAGUUUCCUUGAUUGUAAAAUAAGGAGAAUGGCACCUGUUGCUUGAGAUUGUUGUUAGGAUUGACUUACUACAUGAAAAUAUGGAUGCAGAGUGCUUGACAUACAGUAGGAACUCAAGUAUCUCAGCUUCUUUUCUUCCUUUACAUGCCCAGUGGUGAGUGACAGUAAAAGGAGGGAGGAAGACUCAGAAGAAUAGAUCAACCCCAAGCCAGGCCACAGAGGAUGACAAUAUGGUUCAUUGUCAUCUCCUGACUUCCUGCGACACUGAGGUUCUGACUGAGGCCCAGGCAUCUUGGUGGAUCCCCACUUGCUCAACCCUGGGCACAUCAGAAUUCAGACUUAGAAUCUCCUGACUUUAAGUGUGGCAUGUUCUCUCUGUUUCUGUGAGCUACAGGAGAUAGAAAGAGAAGUAACAAAAGAAAUUCAAGGAACUGUUGUAGGUUGGGGAUCCUUAUGCAGGCUUGAUGUCUGGGCUUGCUGUGAGAAACUCAAGUUCAUUUCCAAUGGUUGGUUCUCAGGGCUAAAAAUCUGUGCAUUGGCUUCGUUAGCAUAUCAACUCCUCUCUUCACACACUCUGUGUUGGAACUGCCACGGCAUGCAGCUUUUCAUAAAAGUCUCUCUUUCAAACCAAGUUCAGCUGUUUCAGUCCUAGAAGGCAGCCAGAUUAGUUCUCUUCUGGGCAAAAUGGUAAAUGCUUAUCACUCCCCACAAUGCCUCCAGCACCACAGAAAUAACAGCCACCCUUUACUGAGUGCCUACUAUGCUUGAGUCCUUUGACAUCACUAUGAGUGGUUAUUAUUAGCUCAUUUUGUAGGGCAGUAGGUUAUGAUUAAGACUGUAGACUUUUAAGUUUGACCAAGGUUCAAAUCCUGGCCCCACCAUAUUUUAGCAAAUCCUUUCUGAGUUUCUGUUUCUUAUUAGCAAAAAAUGGCUAGUAAUGUAUACCUCAUAGUACUGAAAGGAUUAACUGAAUGCCACAUGCAUGGUACUUGGUACCACACCUAAUGCAUGGUAAGUAAAUCCUCAAUAAAUGUAACUGUGGUAAUGAUGGAAAUGCUGUGGUCUCUUCAUCUAUAGAAGAUGGUUCACUGUAGUGGAUACCAGAGAGAUGAGGAGAGGCGGCAAAAAUAUCAACAGUUUCUGUUAGUCUAAGCCAGAAAUGGAGAACCUCAGAAAUACUAUUAGAAAGGGACCUGGUAUGAUUGCUUGGAAUAAACUCAGUGAAUAGCUGCAGUUUAUUAUUCACUCAGCAGGUUUUUAUUGACUACCUACUAUGUUUCAGGCCUUGUGCCAAAAGCUGGAGAUACUAUGAUGAUAAAACAGACAUGAUCCCUUGCCCUCAAGGAGCUUAAGUCUUAUGGAAGGACUCAGAUACUGUUAAAAAAAAAUUGCACCAGUCAUGUAAAAUUACAGACUAGGAUAAAUGCUACAAAAGAAAGGGACAAGGUACUAUGAUAAUGUAUGAUAGGGGUCCUCACCUACUUCGCAUGAUCAAGGAUAGCUUUGCUGAGGAAUUGACAUCUGAGCUGAGAUCUGAAGGAUCACUAGGAGUUAUAAUCAGAUGAAAGGAGUGGGUAGGGUGGGGAGAAAGCUUUCUAGGCAUAUGGACAAAUGUGGCCCCCAUAGUGAGAGGCAGCUUAGCACUUUCAAAGAAGUGAGAAGGUCAAUAUGAUUUGAGUACAGAGAAAAGGCUGGAGGGGGAGAUUAGGGCCUUGCAGGUCAUGUGAAGAGUUUUUUUUCUUUUUAUUCUAAGCUCAUAGGAAUCAUAGAAGGAUUUGAAGCAGAGGUGGUUAUGUGUAUGUUACUCGUGGGGAGGGUUAUGCUCAAUUUGACAUUUACAAGAGAUCUUUCCAACAAUGGCCUUGAGAAUAGAUGGAGGGUGCAAAAGUGGAUGUGGCAAAACCAGUUAAGGAGGCUUUUGCAAUGGUCCCAGUAAGAAAUCAUGCUGGAUAGAGUUAGAGAAGUAACAGUGGAGAUGAGAAGAACAACAUGGUUUGAGAUAUUUAGCAGGUAAAAUUAGCAGGACUUGAUGAUGGAUUGAAUGUAGCCGUGAGGAAAAGAAAGAUGUGAAGCACAAGCCCCAGGUUUCUAGGUGCAUAAGUGGGAAUGGUCCUGCCAUUCGCUAAGCUAAAAAUAAAACUUAGAAGGUGACCAGGUUUGGAUAGGAAGAUCUGAACUGAAUUUAAACACACUGCACUAGAGGUGCCUUUUAGACAUCCGGGUAUGGAUAUUCCAUGCCCAUGGCCACCAAGGGUAGGCCACAAUGGCCUUAGGAUGCCCCAAGCCAUCUGACCCAGAUCCAGCCUCUCUGGGAGUCAGCCUUGUUUGGUAGCUGGCCUGAAGACUCGUGGUUUGCUUCCCACCCUUGUGGUUCUGUUUCCUUACCAGAGUAUUCUGAAAAGGGAGAAUUCAGCCUAAGAAGGAAUAAGAACAGUCUGGGGAGAGACUCUGCUGCUUUAGGGGAAACAACUUAGAUAUUGAUGCAUGUUGUUUGAGAUGUUUUUCCAAAUCUGUGAUUGAUAUAUUUGUGUUUGACAUGUGUGCUUUUGUUUAUUAAAAUAUUUGCUAUUAAUAUAUAUCUACUAUAUGGUAGACACAAUAUCAAGUCAGAAAGGACCCGUGGUACUUCAGAAGCGACAGCCCCGGAACCCAUCUGGCUUUGCUGUUCUUAUGAUCUUAGAGAAUACUAAAUCUCUAGGAUGCUGAGCUGCUGACUUUUCAUCAAGGGAACCUGUCCUUGAGUUCAGGGGGUUGGCUUGUCAGGGGCUUCCUCUGCAGCUGCAGCUCUUCAGCCUGUCUUUGGGGGCCUCUCUUCUGCAGUCUCCCUAGACAGUAACUACAUCAGUUCUCCACUUUGAACAGGGCUCAGCUGGGCACUGUGAGCCGCCCCGCCUUACCACUGCUAUGUGUUCUGGUUUGUUGCCUGAAAGCAACUCUUUGUGUCCAGGUUAGCAGGUGAGGGUGAGAGAAGUGUCAGAGGAGGUUUCGUGUCCUUCUGUAGAACAGCAGAGGAGAGCUGGACUGGCGGGCAGGAAGGGGGGUGGUGGGCAGAGGUGUGACUCAUCCAGCCCUGGCACCAUGUGAUAGGAUCUGUGAAUACCCAUGUGAAAUAGAUACAUGCUUUAAGAACAUUUGCCUUGUGAAGAUCUAAACUCACAAGCCACAUGAAUUUGGAACCGUGAUUACCAUCACAAAAGGGAGCUGGUAUCCUUUAAAAUAUCCUGUAGUAUAUCUAACAUACAAUGCAGUGAGGGACGAAAUAUUUAUGCCAGUUUAGGCACUCAGGGGAAGCUGGCAUUCUCUAUGUCAGUGGAACAAAGAACUUCUUAUAACUGGAGCAGAUGGUGAGCCCCUGUCAGGGCAGGUGUUCCUGCAGAGGCUGGACGACCACAUGUCAGGUGGGACAGAGGGACUGCUUCCCAUGGUGGACUGAGAAUCACAGCUCUAAGAUUCUCUGAUUCUUGGCUUUGCUUUCUGUCUUGAAAAGUAAGUCUGCCUUAGGCAAAUCUGCCAAGGACAGAUUUGUCCUUGAAGUCAGAAGGACCUAGGCUAAAUCUCAGCUCCACCUCUUCGAGCUAUGUAAAUUAGGCAGGUGGCUCUCUGAACCUCCUUCUUCCAGUCUAUAAAAUUAGGUUUAUAAUACCUUGCAGAGUUUUGUGUGUGGGGGUCAAAUGAGUUAAGUCUAGGAGCCAACACCUCAGGAUGUGAGGCGGGGAGAAGCCUUCGGAGCCUCUGAUCAGCUGGCAACCCUGUGGCAUGUGCGCGUGGAUGGUGUGCACAUGGCUUGGGUUUGCAUGCUCUGCACAGGGAGAACAUUCAUUGCUCCAUAGAACACAAAUUCAGGGCAUGUGUCAGCUCACUGGCAGCCUGGGGUAGGCUGGGACACGCUGUCCUGUUUGUGCCUGAGGACUGACACCCACUCAGCAAACAGCCCACCCAGCUUAAGUGUCCCCAAAGAACUCAGUCCUCCUUACAGAGAAAUCCUUUCAGGUGCCGAGAGUGGCAUGUUUCUUGCAGUCUGACCCCUGGAAGAAUUCUGACUGUGUCCCUUUUCCAUGCCAACUCUUUACUAAAGCCGAUUUUGUGAGGAAUUAUUUUUCUAACGUGUUGGAUAAAAUCCUAAAGCGUGUCUCUGAUGGUGUCUUAGGAGGUUCACAGUGUUUUUAUUUUCAUGGGGAGCACUAAGAGGAUACAGACUAGGCUUUUGUUGGGGCAAGCAUAGUCAUUGUAAACUAGAGGCUUUGCUGCCUGCAAAAUCCUUGACACCCCAGGCAAAAUUCUGGCUUCGUGUCACCAUCUAGCAUACCUGAAUCAUUCCAACUUGAAGACAUUUGUCCCUGUUCAGGGUAUCCAUCAUAGUCGUCACAGUUCCAUCUGUGUACACAAUGAAGCUCUGUAUUUACCAGUUAUUUUAUCUGCGUAGCCUCCCUGUGGGCUCUGUAGGGCAGGGUUCUUGGCCGUUUUAUUCAGAUUAAGAGAACAUGGCUCUGCAAGGUGCAAUAGUUUGUCUGAGGUCACCCAACUAAUUAUUAGCAGAGCUGUUUUUCAAAUCCUGGUCUUCUAAGGGGCAGCCUGACAUAAUGUAAACACCAUCCAGCAUUUCUAUCCCACCAAUGGCAUUCAUGAGCUGUGUGACCUUGUGCAAGCUAGUUAUUAUAAGUAGUUAUUGAUAUUAAUAAUUAGAGUAGAAUUUACAAAGCACCUGGCAUGGUAGUAGGUGCUCUACACUGUAUCUCAUUUUCAUUCGCACACUAGACCUAUGAGAGGGGUUUUAUUAUUAUCUGUUUUACAGAUAAGCAUCCUGAAAUUCAGAGUGCUAAAGUAGCUUUCCCUGUCUGAGCCCCAGUUUCUCUAUAAAAGAAGAAUAUUAAUAUCUCCCUGGGUGGGUGAUGAUAAGGGCUGAAUGAGAUAAUGUGUGUAAACUGCCCAGCACAGAGCCUGGAAUAGAGGAGGUGCUCAGUCAGUACUUGUUUCCUUUCCCUAGUUCCUCCUCUGACUUCUAAUAGUGGUCUUUCUACUGCACGCCACUAAAUACAUUUGGAAUCUGAGGUCAUGCCUAAGUCACACUCUUCCCUACUGCCCAGAGGCCACUUCAAGUCUCUCUGUCAGAUCCCGUCUGUUUAGUUUUAUUCCAGUUCAGGAAACAUCAUCCUUCCCUGGCAUGCUGCACCACACCCCUGACAUUUGCCCCAGGGCUGUUUUCUGGACCCCUAAAGCCUACCCUGGCCUCUCUAGCCACAGGGCUUUCUUCUUUCCUAGCUUUCUCUAAGGCAAAUACAUGUUGCUUCCCUUACUUUGACAUUUUACCUGGACUCUUUCCUGUUCUUAUGUUGUGCUUCAUGAGAAGCCACAUAUGGCACCCAGGUCUUCUGACUUCUAGUGUUGUGCAUGCCCUGAAGGUUAUUAUCUUCAUUUAUUUGGUGUUUCUAUCAAGGAAUACCUGGGUAAUUUAUAGAGAAAAGAAGUUUAUUGGCCGGGCACUGUGGCUCACGCCUGUAAUCCCAGCACUUUGGGAGGCUGAGGUGGGUGAAUCACAAGGUCACGAGUUCGAGACCAGCCUGACCAACAUAGUGAAACCCCGUCUCUAUUAAAAAUGCAAAAAUUAGCUGGGCGUGGUAGCAGCACAUGCCUGUGAUCCCAGCUACUCAGGAGGCUGAGGCAGGAGAACCGCUUGAACCCGGGAAGCAGAGGUUGCCGUGAGCCAAGACAGUGCCACUGUACUCCAGCUUGGGCAACAGAGCAAGACUCCAUCUCAAAAAAAAAAAAAAAAAAAAAAAGAGGUUUACUUGGCUUAUAAUUCUGCAGGCUGUAUAAGAAGCAUGGCGCCGGCCUCUGCUUGGUUUCUGGUGAGGGCCUCAGGCUGCUUCCACUCAUGACAGAAGACAAAGGGGAGCCAACAUGUGCAGAGAUCACAUGGUGAGACAGGAAGCAAGAGAGAGGGGAGGUGCCAGGCUCUUUUUAACAAGUAGCUCUCCCAGGAACUAAGAGUGACAACUCACUCCCCACAGAGGGCAUCAAACUAUUUAUUAGGGAUCUGUCCCCCUUUACCCAAACAUUGCACUUCAGGCCUAUACCUCCAAUAUUGGGAUCAAAUUUCAACAUGAGGUUUAGGGGAACUCAUUCAUUUGGCUUUCAAUAAAUAUUCAUUUAUUUAUCACUUACUCAGCCAGACCCUGUGUUAGACAAAAUAGUAAGUGCUAUAGUACUCAAUUAGUAUAGAUCAAAUUAAUACCUAGUUUCAGCUCCUAAACUUGGGGAUUGGGGUAUGGGGUAUGGUAAGGAAGAAGAGAAGGAUAUUACCUGGCAGUGGGUAGACUUGAGAGGUAACAGACCCGACUGCCGGGAUGUACCUCCAUAAAUUUGAGGGAGUAUAGAUAGAGGCUAGUUCUUAUACCUCUAAAAGAUAGCUUGGAGAAGUGAAAAGGGGAGCUAUUUCUAAAUGAUUCAUUCAUUCAGCAGUCUUUUAGCAAGUACCGUAUCUGUGGCUGGUAUUCUGCUGGUGGCGAAUAAGAUAGGGCUCUGUUCUUUUGGAAUCCCCUUCUCUCUGGGGAGGUAAACCUGUAGAUAGGUGAAUCUCAGUGAGUGUUAUAAUGGCAAAGGAGAGUCCAGGGAAGGUCGGAACUUCAAAGGAGGGGACUUACUUUUCAUAGGGGAAGUAAGGGAAAGUUUCAUAGAGAAACUGCACCUCAGAAGGGGAUGAGGCAAGAGAGCAUUCCAGAAAAGUGAAUAACACUUGAAAAGGCCCAGAAUCCUUAAGGAAAGGAGAAUAUUCAAGACACAGAAAACAAGACAGUGUGUUUAGGAGAUAUGCACUGAUGUGUUACAUUAUUGAUUGUACCAUGAAGGUCUUUGUGUGGCAUGUUGAGGGUACUGGACUUAAUCCUUUAGGCAUCAGGAUCCAAUAGAGGUCUUAAAGCUAUAGUCUAGUUGAUGGAAAGCAAAUAGCUGUUCUGUUGAAUACUAACCAAUCAAAUCCCCAUUUUCUACUGAGUCUAGAUGCAGCCUCAGAAAUAUUCUCAUGAAGGAGGCAUGAAAGUAUGAGGCUUUCAAGUAAGCCCAGUCCAGUAGACCUUGAGUGGAUGCCCUUGGCUCAUAUACCUGUAGUGAUCCAGUAAAUGCAAGGCCUUCUUGCCCAGUGGACAUUGGUCCUUUUCUCCAGGAAGCUCUUCUGAACAGAAAGUCUAGCUCUUCUGAAGAGGAUAAAAUGUGCUGGGCUAAGGAAUCAGGAAGUAGCCAUUAGUCUGUAACCUCACUGGUGGCUGUGAUUGUCUUUGCCAGCUCUGUAUCCCUAGAAUCCAGCACAAAACUUGGCACGUGGUAAGUGCUCAGUGAUGUUUGCUGAAUAAAUGAACAAGGAAAAGAAACUAAUCAACUCUCUACCUAACCAGUCAACCAUCCAACCUGGGUUCUAAUUCCAGCUCUUGAAUUUUCAUUCUCUCAGCUGUACAACCACCUGGUUGUUCUCUAAGGCCUUUCACACCCUAGGAUUGUAGGAUGAUGAAUAGUUCAGAGCAAGCCCAGUUAUGAUUUAUAAUUCUAGUAUGCCUCAAAUUUAAUCAGAAUAAAAUAUCAAAAUCAGCACUACUUUACAACAUUUCAGAUACGCCGUCUAAAAACAGAACCUGCGUCUGUCUCAGAGUUGUGAAGAAAAUGUAUUAGGUUAUAUUAAACAGCAAGAUUGUCCUUUUUGUAGGAAAAAAAUAAAUUAAAUCUUAUCUUCCUGACUGGGGAUUUUAAUUGGGAUUUGAGCCAAUUUGAUCUAAAUUUGAGCAUCCAUCCAGAGAACAUUUAUUGACAUCUGCUAUGAGCAAGGUUUUGUGCUAGGCAUGAGGGAGAUAGGAAAAUGAGUAAGAUACAGGUCCUUCCAGGCAGGAAUUGAUGGUGUAGUUAGGGAGAUAAAACAUAUACAUGCUUGACUCUGACCCAGAUGGACAGAGAAUUAGCAGAGACAGUCCAGAUCCAGGGGUAGGAGUGUCAGAGAAGGAAAUCCCUUCCAAGUACACCAUAUAUGUAGGAAGUCUGCCUCUUACCACAACCCUAGAGCUCAGAAUUUAGACUGAGCUAUUGUGGCUAUGAGGAUGUGCUCUGUGGAUUGUGCUCUGUGCCAUGCAACUGCCUGGAGCUUACAGUCAUCCUCAGCCAUCAAGUUGAGCACCUCAGCCCAAACUGGUAUUGGCAAUGAAAAUCAUCUUAGGCUUUAAUGAACAGUGUGCACAUACUACACUGCCAAGCUUGGUAGCAUCUUUUUAUGGCUUGUAUCCUUGGGGUUGAUUUCUAGAAAAAGUUGUUCACUGUAACAGGAAUUUGUAUUUCUUGUUUUAUAAGACUGGAAACUAUUAAUAAUAUUGUCCAAUGUGUGCCCUUUUCUGCCUUGGCUGCCACUGAAAUUCAGGACCUAACUAAAAUGGGAUCAUCCACUUUCCAACAUUUAUCCAACAAUUAUUUGUCAAGUGAUUCUCUGCGCAAGGCCCUGUGCUAAAUGGGUAGGAGACACACACAGGCUGUGCUCUCAAGGAGCUGACAAAAGAUGUGUGAACCAGGUUGAGGGGAACCGAAAUACCAGCUGAGAGAAGUACUAGAGGGAUCAGAGCAGAAAAAGUUUGUUUUUAGCCUAUGGGCACAAAGAAAAAAACGUAAAGGAGAUCCGUGUGAUUUGGACCUCAAAAAGGUAGGAAUCAUACACAUUGAAAUAGGUGUAGUAGGAUUUCUAAAAUAAAAUAAUGACAAAAGUAUUGAGGAAGCAAAAAACUUCAGGCUUGUUUAGGAAAGUAGGAAUACUUCAGUUUGGCUAAGGGGAAUAGGCUUAAAAAAGGUUAGGAUCAGAUCAUCACAGAGGGCCUCCUCCUCAGAUGUUCCAAGGUAAGGCAUUUAUAUAUCUAAUUCUAUGGGCAAUAAGAUGCCUGCUUAAAAACUUAAUAAGUUUAAUAAGUUUUUAAGCAGGUGUGAGUUGGAAAAAUCCUAGAGUUGGAAAGGAUUUUGUAUAUAACCCAGUUCAGCACUCCAUCUGUAUUAGUCCGUUUUCACACUGCUGAUAAAGAUAUACCCGAGACUGAGCAAUUUACAAAAGAAGGAGGUUUAGUUGGACUUAACAGUUUCAUGUGACUGAGGAAGCCUCACAGUCAUGACGGAAGGCAAGGAGGAGCAUCUCACAUCUUACGUGGAUGGUAGACAGGCAAAAAAAGAGAGAGCUUGCCUAUGAGUCUGUAAAAUCAAAAGCAAAUUAGUUACUUCCUAGAUACAAUGGGGUUACAAGCAUUGGGUAAAUACAGUCAUUCCAAAUGGGAGAAAUUGGCCAAAACAAAGGGCUACAGGCCCCAUACAAGUCCAAAAUCCAGUGGGGCAGUCAAAUCUUAAAGCUCCAAAAUGAUCUCCUUUGAGGCUGUGUCUCACAUCCAGGUCACACUGACAUAAGAGGUAGGUUCCCAUAGUCCUGAGCAGCUCCAACCCUGUGGCUUUGCAGGGUACCGUCUCCCUUUUGGCUAUUUUCAUGGGCUGGGGUUGAGUGUCUGUAGCUUUUCCAAGCACACAGUGCAAGCUGUCAUUGGAUCCACCAUUCUGGGGUCUGGAGGAUGGUGGCCAUCUUCUCACAGCUCCACUAGGCAGUGCCCCAGUAGGGACUCUGUGUGGGGGAUCCCACCCCACAUUUUCCUUCUGCACUGCCCUAGCAGAGUUUCUCCAUGAGGACCCCACCCCUACAGCAAACUUCUGCCUGGGCAUCCAGGCUUUUCUAUACACUUCUGAAACCUAGGCAGAGGUUCCCAAACCCCCGUUCUUGACUUCUGUGCACUUGCAGGCUCAACACCAUGUGGAAGCUGCCAAGGCUUGAGGUUUGCACCCUCUGAAGCCACAGCCCAAGCUCUACUUUGGCCCCUUUCAGCCAGUGCUGACAUAGAGCACCAAGUCCCUAGGCGGCACACAGCACAGGGACCCUGCUCCCAGCCCACAAAGUAAUAUUUUCUUCCUAGGCCUCCAGGCCUAUGAUGGAAGGGGCUGCUCUGACAUGCCCUGGAGAC
RNA transcript from Symphalangus syndactylus (siamang), 13309 nucleotides. It is a transcript of the gene named secretion regulating guanine nucleotide exchange factor, with no coding region annotated. The record is from RefSeq and is a predicted model, not a curated record. NCBI's taxonomy places the organism in Eukaryota, Metazoa, Chordata, Mammalia, Primates, Hylobatidae.